This 550-nucleotide ribosomal RNA is filed under the name Streptomyces sp. Its description in RNAcentral is "bacterial SSU rRNA". It matches the Rfam family "Bacterial small subunit ribosomal RNA", at positions 87 to 651 of the family's 1533-position model. Lineage: Bacteria; Bacillati; Actinomycetota; Actinomycetes; Kitasatosporales; Streptomycetaceae. The record is from RNAcentral.
GUGGAUUAGUGGCGAACGGGUGAGUAACACGUGGGCAAUCUGCCCUUCACUCUGGGACAAGCCCUGGAAACGGGGUCUAAUACCGGAUAACACUCCCGCCCGCAUGGGCGGGGGUUGAAAGCUCCGGCGGUGAAGGAUGAGCCCGCGGCCUAUCAGCUUGUUGGUGAGGUAGUGGCUCACCAAGGCGACGACGGGUAGCCGGCCUGAGAGGGCGACCGGCCACACUGGGACUGAGACACGGCCCAGACUCCUACGGGAGGCAGCAGUGGGGAAUAUUGCACAAUGGGCGCAAGCCUGAUGCAGCGACGCCGCGUGAGGGAUGACGGCCUUCGGGUUGUAAACCUCUUUCAGCAGGGAAGAAGCGCAAGUGACGGUACCUGCAGAAGAAGCGCCGGCUAACUACGUGCCAGCAGCCGCGGUAAUACGUAGGGCGCAAGCGUUGUCCGGAAUUAUUGGGCGUAAAGAGCUCGUAGGCGGCUUGUCACGUCGGGUGUGAAAGCCCGGGGCUUAACCCCGGGUCUGCAUUCGAUACGGGCUAGCUAGAGUGUGG